RNAcentral lists this ribosomal RNA (407 nucleotides) under uncultured bacterium. Its description in RNAcentral is "partial 16S ribosomal RNA". It matches the Rfam family "Bacterial small subunit ribosomal RNA", at positions 30 to 526 of the family's 1533-position model. The record is from RNAcentral.
AUUGAACGCUGGCGGCAGGCCUAACACAUGCAAGUCGAGCGGAACGGCGGACGGGCGAGUAAUUCCUAGGUAUCUGCCUGGCCGUGGGGGAUCACGUCCGGAAACGGGCGCUAACACCUCAUACUUUCCGUUGAGCCUGGGGGGGAUUAGCUAGCUGGUGGGGUAAAGGCCUACCAAGGCGACGAUCCGUAACUGGUCUGAGAGGAUGAUCAGUCACACUGGAACUGAGACACGGUCCAGACUCCUACGGGAGGCAGCAGUGGGGAAUAUUGGACAAUGGGCGAAAGCCUGAUCCAGCCAUGCCGCGUGUGUGAAGAAGGUCUUCGGAUUGUAAAGCACUUUAAGUUGGGAGGCGUUACCAACAGAAGAAGCACCGGCUAACUUCGUGCCAGCAGCCGCGGUAAUUC